Molecule: small nuclear RNA, 73 nt
Filed under: Rattus norvegicus (Norway rat)
Lineage: Eukaryota; Metazoa; Chordata; Mammalia; Rodentia; Muridae
Description: U4 spliceosomal RNA
Rfam family: U4 spliceosomal RNA
About the family: U4 small nuclear RNA (U4 snRNA) is a component of the major U2-dependent spliceosome. The structure of U4 snRNA from yeast and human has been reported.
Source: Rfam by way of RNAcentral
AGCUUUGCGCAGUGGCAGUAUCAUAGCCAAUGAGGUUUAUCUGAGGCGCGAUUAUUGCUAAUUGAAAAAGAAA